RNAcentral lists this ribosomal RNA (440 nucleotides) under uncultured bacterium. Its description in RNAcentral is "bacterial SSU rRNA". It matches the Rfam family "Bacterial small subunit ribosomal RNA", at positions 338 to 793 of the family's 1533-position model. The record is from RNAcentral.
CCUACGGGAGGCAGCAGUUGGGAAUAUUGCGCAAUGGGCGAAAGCCUGACGCAGCGACGCCGCGUGGGGGACGAAGGCUCUUGGGUCGUAAACCCCUUUUGCCGGGGAAGAAGUUCUGACGGUACCCGGCGAAUAAGCCACGGCUAACUACGUGCCAGCAGCCGCGGUAAUACGUAGGUGGCAAGCGUUGUCCGGAUUUACUGGGCGUAAAGCGCGUGUAGGCGGCUCGUUGAGUCUGUCGUGAAAUCUCCCGGCUUAACCGGGAUAGGUCGACGGAUACUGGCGGGCUUGAGGGGAGCAGAGGAAGGUGGAAUUCCCGGUGUAGUGGUGAAAUGCGUAGAUAUCGGGAGGAACACCAGUGGCGAAGGCGGCCUUCUGGGCUCUACCUGACGCUGAGACGCGAAAGCGUGGGGAGCGAACCGGAUUAGAUACCCUGGUAG